This 77-nucleotide transfer RNA is filed under the name Syntrophus sp. (in: bacteria). RNAcentral describes it as "tRNA-Ala". It matches the Rfam family "tRNA". From Rfam's summary of the family: Transfer RNA (tRNA) molecules are approximately 80 nucleotides in length. Their secondary structure includes four short double-helical elements and three loops (D, anti-codon, and T loops). Further hydrogen bonds mediate the characteristic L-shaped molecular structure. tRNAs have two regions of fundamental functional importance: the anti-codon, which is responsible for specific mRNA codon recognition, and the 3' end, to which the tRNAs corresponding amino acid is attached (by aminoacyl-tRNA synthetases). tRNAs cope with the degeneracy of the genetic code in two manners: having more than one tRNA (with a specific anti-codon) for a particular amino acid; and 'wobble' base-pairing, i.e. permitting non-standard base-pairing at the 3rd anti-codon position. Lineage: Bacteria; Pseudomonadati; Thermodesulfobacteriota; Syntrophia; Syntrophales; Syntrophaceae. The record is from RNAcentral.
GGGGAUAUAGCUCAGCUGGCUAGAGCGGCGGCUUUGCAAGCCGUAGGUCGUCGGUUCGAUCCCGACCAGCUCCACCA